Molecule: long non-coding RNA, 271 nt
Organism: Lepidothrix coronata (blue-crowned manakin)
Lineage: Eukaryota; Metazoa; Chordata; Aves; Passeriformes; Pipridae
Exons: 3
Source: RefSeq, a predicted model, not a curated record
AAGAAACUUUCUUUUCCCGCAGGGUGGAUGCUGAAAGUCUCUAACCAAAUAUCCCAGUAAGGUGGAUGGUGUAAUUAUCAUGUUGUUAGGUAUUUCCUUACUGACGUGCACCACAAUUUAGCCUCUAAUCUCCGAAAUAGAUGUCAAAGCAGUUUUUGACAUCUUUAGAAAGUCUGUUUUGCGGGUGCUACACUUAUGAUGACCAUAACGAUGUGCUCAGCUAUCAAAACAAGGGGACCGGUGUAUUUAAAAUAAGCGGACGGGCACAUGC